This is a non-coding RNA of Pelodiscus sinensis (Chinese soft-shelled turtle), 837 nucleotides long. The record is from RefSeq and is a predicted model, not a curated record. Lineage: Eukaryota; Metazoa; Chordata; Testudines; Trionychidae.
GAUGCUCCACACUAGGCCCUUUCUGGAUGAGGAUUGUGCAGCAGCUUGUGCAUGUAGGAGCAUGUGCUAUGCUGUUCCUGGGCAUAUGGCCCCAAGAGGUUGCCACAAAGGACCCUAUUGUCACUAUUGGCCACAGAGUGGCUGGAGAGGCCUGCAAUGCUCCUGACCCCGGGUGGGACACCCUCCUUCCACAAGCACCUCCGAGACAGGGGACAUUCAUACACAUGCUCAGCAGUCCUGCACAUGGGCAUGCCCACAGUCUAUGGGGCAGCAUGCACUCCUGGACACGUGGGCCCACUGGCCAUAGCACACAUGGCCUUGCUCCAAACACAGAGUCUGUGACAGCUGAGAACUGUUGCUCUUAGCUUGCAGAUAGGGGCUAGGCUUCAGGCCCUAUCCCUUGGAAUGACUGACUAUGUCUCUCUCCUCCACAGCCGGAUCAGCCGCAAGGGGGGAGGCAGUCACCACCUGGAACAGCCUCCUGGACCUAAGGCACUUGCAGGCACUACCUUCCUAUGGAUGAGUACCAGAUGCAGAACCUGGCACCACUCCGAGCCCUGCCCUGCACUAUCCAUGGCUUAGGACCUGCACCUGUGUUGGGAGAGCUGGCAGGAGCUGAUUGUGCAGGUCACACUCCCAAAGUACAGGCUUACAGCAGCAUCAACAAUGAAAAGAAGAGGAAAUAUCAUCUUACAUUGGGAAAAUCCACCUGUAUAUAAAUCUCAGAAUCCCAUAAAUGAAAACCUCUCAGAUGCCUGAUGUAAUCCAGGAGCACAUGAAGGAGAGUGGCAGUUGAUGUUGAUGCACCAUGCUUUAAAAUAGUUCUACUUCUGAAGG